Molecule: ribosomal RNA, 465 nt
Filed under: uncultured bacterium
Lineage: Bacteria
Description: partial 16S ribosomal RNA
Rfam family: Bacterial small subunit ribosomal RNA
Source: RNAcentral
GACGAACGCUGGCGGCGUGCUUAACACAUGCCAGUCGAACGGAAAGGCCCCUUCGGGGGUACUCGAGUGGCGAACGGGUGAGUAACACGUGAGUAACCUGCCCUUGACUUCGGGAUAACUUCAGGAAACUGGGGCUAAUACCGGAUAGGAAUCCUUGCUGCAUGGUGGGGGUUGGAAAGCUUCGGCGGUUUUGGAUGGACUCGCGGCUUAUCAGCUUGUUGGUGGGGUAGUGGCUUACCAAGGCUUUGACGGGUAGCCGGCCUGAGAGGGCGACCGGCCACAUUGGGACUGAGAUACGACCCAGACUCCUACGGGAGGCAGCAGUGGGGAAUAUUGCACAAUGGGCGGAAGCCUGAUGCAGCAACGCCGCGUGCGGGAUGACGGCCUUCGGGUUGUAAACCGCUUUCAGCAGGGGCGAAGCUUGUGGUGACGGUACCUGCAGAAGAAGCACCGGCUAACUACGUG